This 254-nucleotide ribosomal RNA is filed under the name uncultured bacterium. RNAcentral's name for it is "partial 16S ribosomal RNA". It matches the Rfam family "Bacterial small subunit ribosomal RNA", at positions 524 to 776 of the family's 1533-position model. The record is from RNAcentral.
GACAGAGGUGCCGAGCGUUAGGCGGAAUCACUGGGCUUAAAGCGUGUGUAGGCGGACGGGUAAGUACCUUGUGAAAUCCCACGGCUCAACCGUGGAACUGCUGGGUAUACUGCCUGUCUUGAGUCAUCUAGGGGCGAAGCGGAACAAAUGGUGGAGCGGUGAAAUGCGUAGAUAUCAUUUGGAACGCCAUGGUGAAAACAGCUCGCUGGGAUGUACUGACGCUGGAGAACACGAAAGCCAGGGGAGCAAACGGG